This 1059-nucleotide long non-coding RNA is filed under the name Coturnix japonica (Japanese quail). Its description in RNAcentral is "lncRNA (ENSCJPG00005001826.1)". The record is from RNAcentral. Lineage: Eukaryota; Metazoa; Chordata; Aves; Galliformes; Phasianidae.
AUGCAGUCCCAUAGGGCUCCAUUGCCCUGCGUCCAUUCCAUCUCGUCCAGCAGGGGGCAGCAAAACGUUCCCGGUGUGUGUUUAGGGGGGGGGGGGGGGGGGGUUGGCCGCCAUCCAUCCCCCCAUCAAUCAAUCAACCCCCAUCAAUCAAUCAACCCCCAUCAAUCGAUCAACCCCCGUCAAUCAAUCAACUCCUCCCCCCAUUCCAUUGGUGGGAGGGUCCUUCUCUCAGCCCCCUCAAUUCCAUUGGUCGGAGGUCAAUCAAUCAAUCAAACUCCCCAAUCCCAUUGGUGGGAGGUCAAUCAAUCAAUCAACCCCCUAUUCCAUUGGUGGGAGGUCAAUCAAUCAAUCAACCCCCCCCCGUCAAUCAAUCAAGCCCCCCCAUUCCAUUGGUGGGAGGGCUCUUCUCCCACAGCCCCAAUCCCAUUGGUGGGAGGUCAAUCAAUCAACCCCUUGUGGGAGGGUCCUUCUCACCCCCCCCCAACCCCAUUGGUGGUCAAUCCAUCAAUCACACCCCAUCCCCCGAUCCCAUUGCGCUGGGGGGGGGCAUGCUCUCACAGCUUGAGCUCAUUGCCACCUUGAGGCGAUGGUUCUUGAAGUGCCAUGGAUGGUGCCGCGAUCGUUUGGAACCGGACCUCCGUUCAACGGAGAGCCGGGGCAGUUUGCAAACCUCCAUCUCCCAUUGACGAAGGAGUCGUUGGCGCGGGCUCCAUAGUGCACACAGCAGACGAAGCGCUCCUGCAGCUCACAGCGGCAGCUGUUGGCGGUCCAGCACUUUGCCGGAUCUCCGCUCACAUCUCCCCAGGUUCCAGCUGACGUUGUUUUCAUGCUCCGACGUGAAGCGUAAGGAGCAGGAGCUUGGCGUCCCGGGCGGUCGUCCUGUCCAGCCCACGGCCGGGCUGGAGGGAAAUGGGGGGUGAGAUGGGGGGAUAUUGGGGAUAUGGGGUAUGGGGGGGAUAUGGGGGCAAGUGGUGAUGGGGCGUAUGGUGGGAUUGGGGAUAACGGGGAGGGGGUAACAAGGUUAUGGGGGGUGAUGGGGUGAUGGGGGGGUGAUGGGGA